UAUUGCACAAUGGAGGAAACUCUGAUGCAGUGACACCGCGUAUAGGAAGAAGGUUUUCGGGUUGUCAACUAUUCUAGACAGGGAAGAAAAAAGACAGUACCUGUAGAAUAAGCCCCGGCUAACUACGUGCCAGCAGACGCGGUAAUACGCAGGGAGCAAGCGUUAUCCGUAAUUAUUGGGUGUAAAGGGUGCGUAAACGGGACAGCAAGUUAGUUGUGAAAGCCCUCGGCUUAACUGAGGAACUGCAACUAAAACUAUUGUUCUUGAGUGCAGGAGAGGAAAGCGGAAUUCCUAGUGUAGCGGUGAAAUGCGUAGAUAUUAGGAGGAACACCAGUGGCGAAGGCGGCUUUCUGGACUGUAACUGACGUUGAGGCACGAAAGUGUGGGGAGCAAACAGG
Molecule: ribosomal RNA, 398 nt
Filed under: uncultured bacterium
Lineage: Bacteria
Description: bacterial SSU rRNA
Rfam family: Bacterial small subunit ribosomal RNA
Source: RNAcentral